RNAcentral lists this ribosomal RNA (557 nucleotides) under uncultured Rhizobium sp. Its description in RNAcentral is "bacterial SSU rRNA". It matches the Rfam family "Bacterial small subunit ribosomal RNA", at positions 102 to 694 of the family's 1533-position model. The record is from RNAcentral. Lineage: Bacteria; Pseudomonadati; Pseudomonadota; Alphaproteobacteria; Hyphomicrobiales; Rhizobiaceae.
ACGGGUGAGUAACGCGUGGGAAUCUACCGUGCCCUAAGGAAUAGCUCCGGGAAACUGGAAUUAAUACCUUAUACGCCCUUCGGGGGAAAGAUUUAUCGGGGUAUGAUGAGCCCGCGUUGGAUUAGCUAGUUGGUGGGGUAAAGGCCUACCAAGGCGACGAUCCAUAGCUGGUCUGAGAGGAUGAUCAGCCACAUUGGGACUGAGACACGGCCCAAACUCCUACGGGAGGCAGCAGUGGGGAAUAUUGGACAAUGGGCGCAAGCCUGAUCCAGCCAUGCCGCGUGAGUGAUGAAGGCCCUAGGGUUGUAAAGCUCUUUCACCGGUGAAGAUAAUGACGGUAACCGGAGAAGAAGCCCCGGCUAACUUCGUGCCAGCAGCCGCGGUAAUACGAAGGGGGCUAGCGUUGUUCGGAAUUACUGGGCGUAAAGCGCACGUAGGCGGAUAUUUAAGUCAGGGGUGAAAUCCCAGAGCUCAACUCUGGAACUGCCUUUGAUACUGGGUAUCUCGAGUAUGGAAGAGGUGAGUGGAAUUCCGAGUGUAGAGGUGAAAUUCGUAGA